CCCCACCAAGGCUAUAGCCCACCCGUUUUUUGGCCAUUUUUCCGCUGGGGGGUUUUGGCACCACGACCUUCGGGCGCUUAUUUUUAGGCGCGGCUUUGCCCGCGGCUUAUUUUUGGUGCCCCGAGGCCCUGCGCAAAGUCUCGCCCCAUUCCGAGUCCGGCGGACGAACUUCGCCCGCGCCCCCCACCAAGGCUAUAGCCCACCCGUUUUUUGGCCAUUUUUCCGCUGGGGGGUUUUGGCACCACGACCUUCGGGCGCUUAUUUUUGGGCGCGGCUUUGCCCGCGGCUUAUUUUUGGUGCCCCGAGGCCCUGCGCAAAGUCUCGCCCCAUUCCGAGUCCGGCGGACGAACUUCGCCCGCGCCCCCCACCAAGGCUAUAGCCCACCCGUUUUUUGGCCAUUUUUCCGCUGGGGGGUUUUGGCACCACGACCUUCGGGCGCUUAUUUUUAGGCGCGGCUUUGCCCGCGGGCUUAUUUUUGGUGCCCCCGAGGCCCCUGCGCAAAGUCUCGCCCCAUUCCGAGUCCGGCGGACGAACUUCGCCCGCGCCCCCCACCAAGGCUAUAGCCCACCCGUUUUUUGGCCAUGUUUCCGCUGGGGGGUUUUGGCACCACGACCUUCGGGCGCUUAUUUUUGGGCGCGGCUUUGCCCGCGGCUUAUUUUUGGUGCCCCGAGGCCCUGCGCAAAGUCUCGCCCCAUUCCGAGUCCGGCGGACGAACUUCGCCCGCGCCCCCCACCAAGGCUAUAGCCCACCCGUUUUUUGGCCAUUUUUCCGCUGGGGGGUUUUGGCACCACGACCUUCGGGCGCUUAUUUUUAGGCGCGGCUUUGCCCGCGGCUUAUUUUUGGUGCCCCGAGGCCCUGCGCAAAGUCUCGCCCCAUUCCGAGUCCGGCGGACGAACUUCGCCCGCGCCCCCCACCAAGGCUAUAGCCCACCCGUUUUUUGGCCAUGUUUCCGCUGGGGGGUUUUGGCACCACGACCUUCGGGCGCUUAUUUUUGGGCGCGGCUUUGCCCGCGGCUUAUUUUUGGUGCCCCGAGGCCCCUCGCAAAGUCUCGCCCCAUUCCGAGUCUGGCGGACGAACUUCGCCCGCGCCCCCCACCAAGGCUAUAGCCCACCCGUUUUUUGGCCAUUUUUCCGCUGGGGGGUUUUGGCACCACGACCUUCGGGCGCUUAUUUUUGGGCGCGGCUUUGCCCGCGGCUUAUUUUUGGUGCCCCGAGGCCCUGCGCAAAGUCUCGCCCCAUUCCGAGUCUGGCGGACGAACUUCGCCCGCGCCCCCCACCAAGGCUAUAGCCCACCCGUUUUUUGGCCAUUUUUCCGCUGGGGGGUUUUGGCACCACGACCUUCGGGCGCUUAUUUUUGGGCGCAGCUUUGCCCGCGGCUCAUUUUUUGUACCCCGAGGCCCCUCGCAAAGCCUCGCCCCAUUCCGAGUCCGGCGGACGAACUUCGCCCGCGCCCCCCACCAAGGCUAUAGCCCACCCGUUUUUUGGCCAUUUUUCUGCUGGGGGGGUUUGGCACCACGACCUUCGGGCGCUUAUUUUUGGAUGCGACUGUGUCCGCGACUUCCCACGGGCACCCCGAGGCCCCUCGCAAAGGCUCGCCCCAUUCCGAGUCCGGCGGACGAACUUCGCCCGCGCCGCCCACCAAGGCUAUAGCCCACCCGUUUUUUGGCCAUUUUUCCGCUGGGGGGUUUUGGCACCACGACCUUCGGGCGCUUAUUUUUGGACGCGGCUGUGCCCGCGACUUCCCGCGGGCACCCCGAGGCCCCUCGCAAAGUCUCGCCCCAUUCCGAGUCCGGCGGACGAACUUCGCCCGCGCCCCCCACCAAGGCUAUAGCCCACCCGUUUUUUGGCCAUUUUUCCGCUGGGGGGUUUUGGCACCACGACCUUUGGGCACUUAUUUUUGGGCACGGCUUUGCCCGCGGCUUAUGGUUCGCACCCCGAGGCCCCUCGCAAAGUCUCGCACCAUUCCGAGUCCGGCGGACGAACUUCGCCCGCGCCCCCCACCAAGGCUAUAGCCCACCCGUUUUUUGGCCAUUUUUCCGCUGGGGGGUUUUGGCACCACGACCUUCGGGUGCUUAUUUUUGGACGCGGCUGUGCCCGCGACUUCCCGCGGGCCCCCCGAGGCCCCUCGCAAAGUCUCGCCCCAUUCCGAGUCCGGCGGACGAACUUCGCCCGCGCCCCCCACCAAGGCUAUAGCCCACCCGUUUUUUGGCCAUUAUUCCGCUGGGGGGUUUUGGCACCACGACCUUUGGGCACUUAUUUUUGGCACCCCGAGGCCCCUCGCAAAGUCUCGCCCCAUUCGGAGUCCGGCGGACGAACUUCGCCCGCGCCCCCCACCAAGGCUAUAGCCCACCCGUUUUUUGGCCAUUUUUCCGCUGGGGGGUUUUGGCACCACGACCUUCGGGCGCGGAUUUUCCCACGGCUUAUUUUUGGCACCCCGAGGCCCCUCGCAAAGUCUCGCCCCAUUCCGAGUCCGGCGAACGAACUUCGCCCGCGCCCCCCACCAAGGCUAUAGCCCACCCGUUUUUUGGCCAUUUUUCCAAUGGCGGGUUUUGACACCACGACCUUCGGGCACUUAUUUUUGGACCCGGCUGUGUCCGCGACUUCCCGCGGGCACCCCGAGGCCCCUCGAAAAGUAUCGCCCCAUUCCAAGUCCGGCGGACGAACUUCGCCCGCGCCCCCCACCAAGGCUAUAGCCCACCCGUUUUUUGGCCAUUUUUCCGCUGGGGGGUUUUGGCACCACGACCUUCGGGCGCUUAUUUUUGGGUGCGGCUUUGCCCGCGGCUUAUUUUUGGCGCCCCGAGGCCCUGCGCAAAGUCUCGCCCCAUUCCGAGUCCGGCGGACGAACUUCGCCCGCGCCCCCCACCAAGGCUAUAGCCCACCCGUUUUUUGGCCAUUUUUCCGCUGGGGGGUUUUGGCACCACGACCUUCGGGCGCUUAUUUUUGGGCGCGGCCUUGUCCGCGGCUUAUUUUUGGCACCCCGAGGCCCCUCGCAAAGUCUCGCCCCAUUCCGAGUCCGGCAGACGAACUUCGCCCGCGCCCCCCACCAAGGCUAUAGCCCACCCGUUUUUUGGCCAUUUUUCCGCUGGGGGGUUUUGGCACCACGACCUUCGGGCGCUUAUUUUUGGGCGCGGCUUUGCCCGCGGCUUAUUUUUGGUGCCCCGAGGCCCUGCGCAAAGUCUCGCCCCAUUCCGAGUCUGGCGGACGAACUUCGCCCGCGCCCCCCACCAAGGCUAUAGCCCACCCGUUUUUUGGCCAUUUUUCCGCUGGGGGGUUUUGGCACCACGACCUUCGGGCGCUUAUUUUUGGGCGCAGCUUUGCCCGCGGCUCAUUUUUUGUACCCCGAGGCCCCUCGCAAAGCCUCGCCCCAUUCCGAGUCCGGCGGACGAACUUCGCCCGCGCCCCCCACCAAGGCUAUAGCCCACCCGUUUUUUGGCCAUUUUUCUGCUGGGGGGUUUUGGCACCACGACCUUCGGGCGCUUAUUUUUGGACGCGACUGUGUCCGCGACUUCCCACGGGCACCCCGAGGCCCCUCGCAAAGGCUCGCCCCAUUCCGAGUCCGGCGGACGAACUUCGCCCGCGCCGCCCACCAAGGCUAUAGCCCACCCGUUUUUUGGCCAUUUUUCCGCUGGGGGGUUUUGGCACCACGACCUUCGGGCGCUUAUUUUUGGACGCGGCUGUGCCCGCGACUUCCCGCGGGCACCCCGAGGCCCCUCGCAAAGUCUCGCCCCAUUCCGAGUCCGGCGGACGAACUUCGCCCGCGCCCCCCACCAAGGCUAUAGCCCACCCGUUUUUUGGCCAUUUUUCCGCUGGGGGGUUUUGGCACCACGACCUUUGGGCACUUAUUUUUGGGCACGGCUUUGCCCGCGGCUUAUGGUUCGCACCCCGAGGUCCCUCGCAAAGUCUCGCACCAUUCCGAGUCCGGCGGACGAACUUCGCCCGCGCCCCCCACCAAGGCUAUAGCCCACCCGUUUUUUGGCCAUUUUUCCGCUGGGGGGUUUUGGCACCACGACCUUCGGGUGCUUAUUUUUGGACGCGGCUGUGCCCGCGACUUCCCACGGGCCCCCCGAGGCCCCUCGCAAAGUCUCGCCCCAUUCCGAGUCCGGCGGACGAACUUCGCCCGCGCCCCCCACCAAGGCUAUAGCCCACCCGUUUUUUGGCCAUUAUUCCGCUGGGGGGUUUUGGCACCACGACCUUUGGGCACUUAUUUUUGGCACCCCGAGGCCCCUCGCAAAGUCUCGCCCCAUUCGGAGUCCGGCGGACGAACUUCGCCCGCGCCCCCCACCAAGGCUAUAGCCCACCCGUUUUUUGGCCAUUUUUCCGCUGGGGGGUUUUGGCACCACGACCUUCGGGCGCGGAUUUUCCCACGGCUUAUUUUUGGCACCCCGAGGCCCCUCGCAAAGUCUCGCCCCAUUCCGAGUCCGGCAGACGAACUUCGCCCGCGCCCCCCACCAAGGCUAUAGCCCACCCGUUUUUUGGCCAUUUUUCCGCUGGGGGGGUUUUGGCACCACGACCUUCGGGCGCUUAUUUUUGGACGCGGCUGUGCCCGCGAAUUCCCGCGGGCACCCCGAGGCCCCUCGCAAAGUCUCGCCCCAUUCCGAGUCCGGCGGACAAACUUCGCCCGCGCCCCCCACCAAGGCUAUAGCCCACCCGUUUUUUGGCCAUUUUUCCGCUGGGGGGUUUUGGCACCACGACCUUCGGGCGCUUAUUUUUGGACGCGGCUGUGCCCGCGACUUCUUUUGGGCACCCCAAGGCCCCUCGCAAAAUCUCGCCCCAUUCCGAGUCCGGCGGACGAACUCGCCCGCGCCCCCCACCAAGCUAUAGCCCACCCAUUUUUCGCCAUUUUUCCGCGGGGGGUUUUUGCCACACGACCUUUCGGCGCUUAUUUUUGGGCGCGGCCUUGCCCACGGCUUAUUUUUGGCACCCCGAGGCCCCUCGCAAAGUCUCGCCCCAUUCCGAGUCCGGCGGACGAACUUCGCCAGCGCCCCCCACUAAGGCUAUAGCCCACCCGUUUUUUGGCCAUUUUUCCGCUGGGGGGUUUUGGCACCACGACCUUCGGGUGCUUAUUUUUGGAUGCGGCUGUGCCCGCGACUUCCCGCGGGCACCCCGAGGCCCCUCGCAAAGUCACGCCCCAUUCUGAGUCCGGCGGACGAACUUCGCCCGCGCCCCCCACCAAGGCUAUAGCCCACCCGUUUUUUGGCCAUUUUUCCGCUGGGGGGUUUUGGCACCACGACCUUCGGGCGCUUAUUUUUGGGUUCGGCUUUGCCCGCGGCUUAUUUUUGGUGCGCCGAGGCCCCUCGCAAAGUCUCGCCCCAUUCCGAGUCCGGCGGACGAACUUCGCCCGCGCCCCCCACCAAGGCUAUAGCCCACCCGUUUUUUGGCCAUUUUUCCGCUGGGGGGUUUUGGCACCACGACCUUCAGGCGUUUAUUUUUGGGCACGGCUUUGCCCGCGGCUUAUUUUUGGUGCGCCGAGGCCCCUCGCAAAGUCUCGCCCCAUUCCGAGUCCGGCGGACGAACUUCGCCCGCGCCCCCCACGAAGGCUAUAGCCCACCCGUUUUUUGGCCAUUUUUCCGCUGGCGGGUUUUGGCACCACGACCUUCGGGCGCUUAUUUUUGGGCGCGGCUUUGCCCGCGGCUUAUUUUUGGCACCCCGAGGCCCCUCGCAAAGUCUCGCCCCAUUCCGAUUCCGGCGGACGAACUUCGCACGCGCCCCCCACUAAGGCUAUAGCCCACCCGUUUUUUGGCCAUUUUUCCGCUGGGGGGUUUUGGCACCACGACCUUCGGGUGCUUAUUUUUGGACGCGGCUGUGCCCGCGACUUCCCGCAGGCACCCCGAGGCCCCUCGCAAAGUCACGCCCCAUUCUGAGUCCGGCGGACGAACUUCGCCCGCGCCCCCCACCAAGGCUAUAGCCCACCCGUUUUUUGGCCAUUUUUCCGCUGGGGGGUUUUGGCACCACGACCUUCAGGCGCUUAUUUUUGGUGCGCCGAGGCCCCUCGCAAAGUCUCGCCCCAUUCCGAGCCCGGCGGACGAACUUCGCCCGCGCCCCCCACCAAGGCUAUAGCCCACCCGUUUUUUGGCCAUUUUUCCGCUGGGGGGUUUUGGCACCACGACCUUCAGGCGCUUAUUUUUGGGCGCGGCUUUGCCCGCGGCUUAUUUUUGGUGCGCCGAGGCCCCUCGCAAAGUCUCGCCCCAUUCCGAGUCCGGCGGACGAACUUCGCUCGCGCCCCCCACGAAGGCUAUAGGCCACCCGUUUUUUGGCCAUUUUUCCGCUGGCGGGUUUUGGCACCACGACCUUCGGGCGCUUAUUUUUGGGCGCGGCUUUGCCCGCGGCUUAUUUUUGGCGCCCCGAGGCUCCUCGCAAAGUCUCGCCCCAUUCCGAGUCCGGCGGACGAACUUCGCCCGCGCCCCCCACCAAGGCUAUAGCCCACCCGUUUUUUGGCCAUUUUUCCGCUGGGGGGUUUUGGCACCACGACCUUCGGGCGCUUAUUUCUGGACGCGGCUGUGCCCGCGACUUCCCGCGGGCACCCCGAGGCCCCUCGCAAAGUCUCGCCCCAUUCCGAGUCCGGCGGACGAACUUCGCCCGCGCCCCCUACCAAGGCUAUACCCCACCCGUUUUUUGGCCAUUUUUCCGCUGGGGGUUUUGGCACCACGACCUUUCGGCUUCUUAAUUUUCUGGAACCCGGCUGUGCCCCGUGACUUCCCGCGGGCACCCCGAGGCCCCUCGCAAAGUCUCGCCCCAUUCCGAGUCCGGCGGACGAACUUCGCCCGCGCCCCCCACCAAGGCUAUAGCCCACCCGUUUUUUGGCCAUUUUUCCGCUGGGGGGUUUUGGCACCACGACCUUCGGGCGCUUAUUUUUGGGCGCGGCCUUGCCCGUGGCUUAUUUUUGGCACCCCGAGGCCCCUCGCAAAGUCUCGCCCCAUUCCGAGUCCGGCAGACGAACUUCGCCCGCGCCCCCCACCAAGGCUAUAGCCCACCCGUUUUUUGGCCAUUUUUCCGCUGGGGGGGUUUUGGCACCACGACCUUCGGGCGCUUAUUUUUGGACGCGGCUGUGCCCGCGACUUCCCGCGGGCACCCCGAGGCCCCUCGCAAAGUCUCGCCCCAUUCCGAGUCCGGCGGACGAACUUCGCCCGCGCCCCCCACCAAGGCUAUAGCCCACCCGUUUUUUGGCCAUUUUUCCGCUGGGGGGUUUUGGCACCACGACCUUCGGGCGCUUAUUUUUGGACGCGGCUGUGCCCGCGACUUCCCGCGGGCACCUCGAGGCCCCUCGCAAAGUCUCGCCCCAUUCCGAGUCCGGCGGACGAACUUCGCCCGCACCCCCCACCAAGGCUAUAGCCCACCCGUUUUUUGGCUAUUUUUCCGCUGGGGGGUUUUGGCACCACGACCUUCGGGUGCUUAUUUUUGGACGCGGCUGUGCCCGCGACUUCCCGCGGGCACCUCGAGGCCCCUCGUAAAGUCUCGCCCCAUUCCGAGUCCGGCGGACGAACUUCGCCCGCGCCCCCCACCAAGGCUAUAGCCCACCCGUUUUUUGGCCAUUUUUCCGCUGGGGGGGUUUUGGCACCACGACCUUCGGGCGCUUAUUUUUGGACGCGGCUGUGCCCGCGACUUCCCGCGGGCACCCCGAGGCCCCUCGCAAAGUCUCGCCCCAUUCCGAGUCCGGCGGACGAACUUCGCCCGCGCCCCCCACCAAGGCUAUAGCCCACCCGUUUUUUGGCCAUUUUUCCGCUGGGGGGUUUUGGCACCACGACCUUCGGGCGCUUAUUUUUGGACGCGGCUGUGCCCGCGACUUCCCGCGGGCACCCCGAGGCCCCUCGCAAAGUCUCGCCCCAUUCCGAGUCCGGUGGACGAACUUCGCCCGCGCCCCCCACCAAGGCUAUAGCCCACCCAUUUUUUGGCCAUUUUUCCGCUGGGGGGUUUUGGCACCACGACCUUCGGGCGCUUAUUUUUGGGCGCGGCCUUGCCCACGGCUUAUUUUUGGCACCCCGAGGCCCCUCGCAAAGUCUCGCCCCAUUCCGAGUCCGGCGGACGAACUUCGCCAGCGCCCCCCACCAAGGCUAUAGCCCACCCGUUUUUUGGCCAUUUUUCCGCUGGGGGGUUUUGGCACCACGACCUUCGGGCGCUUAUUUUUGGACGCGGCUGUGCCCGCGACUUCCCGCGGGCACUCCGAGGCCCCUCGCAAAGUCUCGCCCCAUUCCGAGUCCGGCGGACGAACUUCGCCCGCGCCCCCCACCAAGGCUAUAGCCCACCCGUUUUUUGGCCAUUUUUCCGCUGGGGGGUUUUGGCACCACGACCUUCGGGCGCUUAUUUUUGGGCGCGGCUUUGCCCGCGGCUUAUUUUUGGCACCCCGAGGCCCCUCGCAAAGUCUCGCCCCAUUCCGAUUCCGGCGGACGAACUUCGCACGCGCCCCCCACUAAGGCUAUAGCCCACCCGUUUUUUGGCCAUUUUUCCGCUGGGGGGUUUUGGCACCACGACCUUCGGGUGCUUAUUUUUGGACGCGGCUGUGCCCGCGACUUCCCGCAGGCACCCCGAGGCCCCUCGCAAAGUCACGCCCCAUUCUGAGUCCGGCGGACGAACUUCGCCCGCGCCCCCCACCAAGGCUAUAGCCCACCCGUUUUUUGGCCAUUUUUCCGCUGGGGGGUUUUGGCACCACGACCUUCAGGCGCUUAUUUUUGGUGCGCCGAGGCCCCUCGCAAAGUCUCGCCCCAUUCCGAGCCCGGCGGACGAACUUCGCCCGCGCCCCCCACCAAGGCUAUAGCCCACCCGUUUUUUGGCCAUUUUUCCGCUGGGGGGUUUUGGCACCACGACCUUCAGGCGCUUAUUUUUGGGCGCGGCUUUGCCCGCGGCUUAUUUUUGGUGCGCCGAGGCCCCUCGCAAAGUCUCGCCCCAUUCCGAGUCCGGCGGACGAACUUCGCUCGCGCCCCCCACGAAGGCUAUAGGCCACCCCUUUUUUGGCCAUUUUUCCGCUGGCGGGUUUUGGCACCACGACCUUCGGGCGCUUAUUUUUGGGCGCGGCUUUGCCCGCGGCUUAUUUUUGGCGCCCCGAGGCUCCUCGCAAAGUCUCGCCCCAUUCCGAGUCCGGCGCACGAACUUCGCCCGCGCCCCCCACCAAGGCUAUAGCCCACCCGUUUUUUGGCCAUUUUUCCGCUGGGGGGUUUUGGCACCAUGACCUUCGGGCGCUUAUUUCUGGACGCGGCUGUGCCCGCGACUUCCCGCGGGCACCCCGAGGCCCCUCGCAAAGUCUCGCCCCAUUCCGAGUCCGGCGGACGAACUUCGCCCGCGCCCCCCACCAAGGCUAUAGCCCACCCGUUUUUUGGCCAUUUUUCCGCUGGGGGGUUUUGGCACCACGACCUUCGGGCUCUUAUUUCUGGACGCGGCUGUGCCCGCGACUUCCCGCGGGCACCCCGAGGCCCCUCGCAAAGUCUCGCCCCAUUCCGAGUCCGGCGGACGAACUUCGCCCGCGCCCCCCACCAAGGCUAUAGCCCACCCAUUUUUUGGCCAUUUUUCCGCUGGGGGGUUUUGGCAACACGACCUUCGGGCACUUAUUUUUGGGCGCGGCGUUGCCCGCGGCUUAUUUUGGGCACCCCGAGGCCCCUCGCAAAGUCUCGCCCCAUUCCGAGUCCGGCGGACGAACUUCGCCCGCGCCCCCCACCAAGGCUAUAGCCCACCCGUUUUUUGGCCAUUUUUCCGCUGGGGGGUUUUGGCACCACGACCAUCGGGCUCUUAUUUUUGGACGCGGCUUGUCCAGCGACUUCCCGCGGGCACCCCGAGGCCCCUCGCAAAGUCUCGCCCCAUUCCGAGUCCGGCGGACGAACUUCGCCCGCGCCCCCCACCAAGGCUAUAGCCCACCCGUUUUUUGGCCAUUUUUCCGCUGGGGGGUUUUGGCACCACGACCUUCGGGCACUUAUUUUUGGACGCAGCUGUGCCCGCGACUUCCCGCGAGCACCCCGAAGCCCCUCGCAAAGUCUCGCCCCAUUCCGAGUCCGGCGGACGAACUUCGCCCGCGCCCCCCACCAAGGCUAUAGCCCACCCGUUUUUUGGCCAUUUUUCCGCUGGGGGGUUUUGGCACCACGACUUUCGGGCGCUUAUUUUUGGGCGCGGCUUUGCCCGCAGCUUAUUUUUGGCGCCCCGAGGCCCUGCACAAAGUCUCGCCCCAUUCCGAGUCCGGCGGACGAACUUCGCCCGCGCCCCCCACCAAGGCUAUAGCCCAGCCGUCUUUUGGCCAUUUUUCCGCUGGGGGGUUUUGGCACCACGACCUUCAGGCGCUUAUUUUUGGGCGCAGCUUUGCCCACGGCUUAUUUUUGGUGCCCCGAUGCCCCUCGCAAAGUCUCGCCCCAGUCCGAGUCCGGCGGACGAACUUCGCCCGCGCCCCCCACCAAGGCUAUAGCCCACCCGUUUUUUGGCCAUUUUUCCGCUGGGGGGUUUUGGCACCACGACCUUCGGGCGCUUAUUUCUGGACGCGGCUGUGCCCGCGACUUCCCGCGGGCACCCCGAGGCCCCUCGCAAAGUCUCGCCCCANNNNNNNNNNNNNNNNNNNNNNNNNNNNNNNNNNNNNNNNNNNNNNNNNNNNNNNNNNNNNNNNNNNNNNNNNNNNNNNNNNNNNNNNNNNNNNNNNNNNCCAACCCGUUUUUUGGCCAAUUUUCCGCUGGGGGGGUUUUGGCACCACGACCUUCGGGCUCUUAUUUCUGGACGCGGCUGUGCCCGUGACUUCCCGCGGGCACCCCGAGGCCCCUCGCAAAGUCUCGCCACAUUCCGAGUCCGGCGGACGAACUUCGCCCGCGCCCCCCACCAAGGCUAUAGCCCACCCGUUUUUUGGCCAUUUUUCCGCUGGGGGGUUUUGGCAACACGACCUUCGGGCGCUUAUUUUUGGACACGGCUGUGCCCGCGACUUCCCGCGGGCACCCCAAGGCCCCUCGCAAAGUCUCGCCCCAUUCCGAGUCCGGCGGACGAACUUCGCCCGCGCCCCCCACCAAGGCUAUAGCCCACCCGUUUUUUGGCCAUUUUUCCGCUGGGGGGUUUUGGCACCACGACCUUCGGGCGCUUAUUUUUGGACGCGGCUGUGCCCGCGACUUCCCGCGGGCACCUCGAGGCCCCUCGCAAAGUCUCGCCCCAUUCCGAGUCCGGCGGACGAACUUCGCCCGCGCCCCCCACCAAGGCUAUAGCCCACCCGUUUUUUGGCCAUUUUUCCGCUGGGGGGUUUUGGCACCACGACCUUUGGGCGCUUAUUUUUGGGCGCGGCUUUGUCCGCGGCUUAUUUUUGGCACCCCGAGGCCCCUAGCAAAGUCUCGCCCCAUUCCGAGUCCGGCGGACGAACUUCGCCCGCGCCCCCCACCAAGGCUAUAGCCCACCCGUUUUUUGGCCAUUUUUCCGCUGGGGGGUUUUGGCACCACGACCUUCGGGCGCUUAUUUUUGGGCACGGCUUUGCCCGCGGCUUAUUUUUGGUGCCCCGAGGCCCCUCGCAAAGUCUCGCCCCAUUCCGAGUCCGGCAGACGAACUUCGCCCGCGCCCCCCACCAAGGCUAUAGCCCACCCGUUUUUUGGCCAUUUUUCCGCUGGGGGGGUUUUGGCACCACGACCUUCGGGCGCUAAUUUUUGGGUGCGGCUGUGCCCGCGACUUCCCGCGGGCACCCCGAGGCCCCUCGCAAAAUCUCGCCCCAUUCCGAGUCCGGCGGACGAACUUCGCCCGCGCCCCCCACCAAGGCUAUAGCCCACCCGUUUUUUGGCCAUUUUUCCGCUGGGGGGUUUUGGCACCACGACCAUCGGGCGCUUAUUUUUGGGCGCGGCUGUGCCCGCGACUUCCCGCGGGCACCCCGAGGCCCCUCGCAAAGUCUCGCCCCAUUCCGAGUCCGGCGGACGAACUUCGCCCGCGCCCCCCACCAAGGCUAUAGCCCACCCGUUUUUUGGCCAUUUUUCCGCUCGGGGGUUUUGGCACCACGACCUUCGGGUGCUUAUGUUUGGGCGCGGCUUUGCCCGCGGCUUAUUUUUGGCACCCCGAGGCCCCUUGCAAAGUCUCGCCCCAUUCCGAGUCCGGCGGACGAACUUCGCCCGCGCCCCCCACCAAGGCUAUAGCCCACCCGUUUUUUGGCCAUUUUUCCGCUGGGAGGUUUUGGCACCACGACCUUCGGGCGCUUAUUUUUGGGCGCGGCUUUGCCCGCGGCUUAUUUUUGGCACCCCGAGGCCCCUCGCAAAGUCUCGCCGCAUUCCGAGUCCGGCGGACGAACUUCGCCCGCGCCCCCCACCAAGGCUAUAGCCCACCCGUUUUUUGGCCAUUUUUCCGCUGGGGGGUUUUGGCUCCACGACCUUCGGGCGCUUAUUUUUGGGCGCGGCUUUGCCCGCGGCUUAUUUUUGGCACCCCGAGGCCCCUCGCAAAGUCUUGCGGCAUUCCGAGUCCGGCGGACGAACUUCGCCCGCGCCCCCCACCAAGGCUAUAGCCCACCCGUUUUUUGGCCAUUUUUCCGCUGGGGGGUUUUGGCACCACGACCUUCGGGCGCUUAUUUUUGGGCGCGGCUUGGCCCGCGGCUUAUUUUUGGCACCCCGAGGCCCCUCGCAAAGUCUCGCCCCAUUCCGAGUCCGGCGGACGAACUUCGCCCGCGCCCCCCACCAAGGCUAUAGCCCACCCGUUUUUUGGCCAUUUUUCCGGUGGGGGGUUUUGGCACCACGACCUUCGGGCGCUUAUUUCUGGGCGCGGCUUUGCCCGCGGCUUAUUUUUGGCACCCCGAGGCCCCUCGCAAAGUCUCGCCGCAUUCCGAGUCCGGCGGACGAACUUCGCCCGCGCCCCCCACCAAGACUAUAGCCCACCCGUUUUUUGGCCAUUUUUCCGCUGGGGGGUUUUGGCACCACGACCUUCGGGCGCUUAUUUUUGGGCGCGGCUUUGCCCGGGGCUUAUUUUUGGCACGCCGAGGCCCCUCGCAAAGUCUCGCCGCAUUCCGAGUCCGGCGGACGAACUUCGCCCGCGCCCCCCACCAAGGCUAUAGCCCACCCGUUUUUUGGCCAUUUUUCCGCUGGGGGGUUUUGGCACCACGACCUUCGGGCGCUUAUUUUUGGGCGCGGCUUUGCCCGCGGCUUAUUUUUGGCACCCCGAGGCCCCUCGCAAAGUCUCGCCGCAUUCCGAGUCCGGCGGACGAACUUCGCCCGCGCCCCCCACCAAGGCUAUAGCCCACCCGUUUUUUGGCCAUUUUUCCGCUGGGGGGUUUUGGCACCACGACCUUCGGGCGCUUAUUUUUGGGCGCGGCUUUGCCCGCGGCUUAUUUUUGGCACCCCGAGGCCCCUCGCAAAGUCUCGCCGCAUUCCGAGUCCGGCGGACGAACUUCGCCCGCGCCCCCCACCAAGGCUAUAGCCCACCCGUUUUUUGGCCAUUUUUCCGCUGGGGGGUUUUGGCACCACGACCUUCGGGCGCUUAUUUUUGGGCGCGGCUUUGCCCGCGGCUUAUUUUUGGCACCCCGAGGCCCCUCGCAAAGUCUCGCCGCAUUCCGAGUCCGGCGGACGAACUUCGCCCGCGCCCCCCACCAAGGCUAUAGCCCACCCGUUUUUUGGCCAUUUUUCCGCUGGGGGGUUUUGGCACCACGACUUUCGGGCGCUUAUUUUUGGGCGCGGCUUUGCCCGCGGCUUAUUUUUGGCACCCCGAGGCCCCUCGCAAAGUCUCGCCGCAUUCCGAGUCCGGCGGACGAACUUCGCCCGCGCCCCCCACCAAGGCUAUAGCCCACCCGUUUUUUGGCCAUUUUUCCGCUGGGGGGUUUUGGCACCACGACCUUCGGGCGCUUAUUUUUGGGCGCGGCUUUGCCCGCGGUUUAUUUUUGGCACCCCGAGGCCCCUCGCAAAGUCUCGUCGCAUUCCGAGUCCGGCGGACGAACUUCGCCCGCGCCCCCCACCAAGGCUAUAGCCCACCCGUUUUUUGGCCAUUUUUCCGCUGGGGGGUUUUGGCACCACGACCUUCGGGCGCGGCUUUGCCCGCGGCUUAUUUUUGGCACCCCGAGGCCCCUCGCAAACUCUCGCCCCAUUCCGAGUCCGGCGGACGAACUUCGCCCGCGCCCCCCGCCAAGGCUAUAGCCCACCCGUUUUUUGGCCAUUUUUCCGCUGGGGGGUUUUGGCACCACGACCUUCGGGCGCUUAUUUCUGGGCGCGGCUUUGCCCGCGGCUUAUUUUUGGCACCCCGAGGCCCCUCGCAAAGUCUCGCCGCAUUCCGAGUCCGGCGGACGAACGUCGCCCGCGCCCCCCACCAAGGCUAUAGCCCACCCGUUUUUUGGCCAUUUUUCCACUCGGGGGUUUUGGCACCACGACCUUCGGGCACUUAUGUUUGGGCGCGGCUUUGCCCGCGGCUUAUUUUUGGCACCCCGAGGCCCCUCGCAAAGUCUCGCCCCAUUCCGAGUCCGGCGGACGAACUUCGCCCGCGCCCCCCACCAAGGCUAUAGCCCACCCGUUUUUUGGCCAUUUUUCCGCUGGGGGGUUUUGGCACCACGACCUUCGGGCGCUUAUUUUUGGGCGCGGCUUUGCCCCCGGCUUAUUUUUGGUACCCCGAGGCCCCUCGCAAAGUCUCGCCCCAUUCCGAGUCCGGCGGACGAACUUCGCCCGCGCCCCCCACCAAGGCUAUAGCCCACCCGUUUUUGGGCCAUUUUUCCGCUGGGGGGUUUUGGCACCACGACCUUCGGGCGCUUAAUUUUGGGCACGGCUUUUCCCGCGGCUUAUUUUUGGCACCCCGAGGCCCCUCGCAAAGUCUCGCCCCAUUCCGAGUCCGGCGGACGAACUUCGCCCGCCCCCCCCACCAAGGCUAUAGCCCACCCAUUUUUUGGCCAUUUUUCCGCUGGGGGUUUUGGCAGCACGACCUUCAGGCCCUUAUUUUUGGGCGCGGCUUAUUUUUGGCACCCCGAGGCCCCUCGUAAAGUCUCGCCCCAUUCCGAGUCCGGGGGACGAACUUCGCCCGCGCCCCCCACCAAGGCUAUAGCCCACCCGUUUUUUGGCCAUUUUUCCGCUGGGGGGUUUUGGCGCCACGACCUUCGGGCGCUUAUUUUUGGGCGCGGCUUUGCCCGCGGCUUAUUUUUUGCCCCCCGAGGCCCCUCGCGAAGUCUCGCCCCAUUCCGAGUCCGGCGGACGAACUUCGCCCGCGCUCCCCACCAAGGUCAUAGCCCACCCGUUUUUUGGCCAUUUUUCCGCUGGGGGGUUUUGGCACCAUGACCUUCGGGCGCUUAUUUUUGGGCGCGGCUUUGCCCGGGCUUAUUUUUGGCACCACGAGGCACCUCGCAAAGUCUCGGCCCAUUCCGAGUCCGGCGGACGAAAUUCGCCCGCGCCCCACACCAAGGCUAUAGCCCACCCGUUUUUUGGCCAUUUUUCCGCUGGGGGGUUUUGGCACCACGACCUUCGGGCGCUUAUUUUUGGGCGCGGCUUUGCCCCCGGCUUAUUUUUGGUACCCCGAAGCCCCUCGCAAAGUCUCGCCCCAUUCCGAGUCCGGCGGACGAACUUCGCCCGCGCCCCCCACCAAGGCUAUAGCCCACCCGUUUUUUGGCCAUUUUUCCGCUGGGGGGUUUUGGCACCACGACCUUCGGGCGCUUAUUUUUGGGCACGGCUUUUCCCGCGGCUUAUUUUCAGCACCCCGAGGCCCCUCGCAAAGUCUCGCCCCAUUCCGAGUCCGGCGGACGAACUUCGCCCGCGCCCCCCACCAAGGCUAUAGCCCACCCAUUUUUUGGCCAUUUUUCCGCUGGGGGUUUUGGCACCACGACCUUCAGGCCCUUAUUUUUUGGCGCGGCUUAUUUUUGGCACCCCGAGGCCCCUCGUAAAGUCUCGCUCCAUUCCGAGUCGGGCGGAACGAACUUCGCCCGCGCCCCCCACCAAGGCUAUAGCCCACCCGUUUUUUGGCCAUUUUUCCGCUGGGGGGGUUUGGCCCCACGACCCUCGGCAGCUUAUUUUUGGGCGCGGUUUUGCUCGCGGCUUAUUUUUGGGCACCCAAGGCCCCCCCCAAUGCCUCCCCCCAUUCCGAGUCCGGGGGAAGAACUUCCCCCGCCCCCCCNNNNNNNNNNNNNNNNNNNNNNNNNNNNNNNNNNNNNNNNNNNNNNNNNNNNNNNNNNNNNNNNNNNNNNNNNNNNNNNNNNNNNNNNNNNNNNNNNNNNNNNNNNNNNNNNNNNNNNNNNNNNNNNNNNNNNNNNNNNNNNNNNNNNNNNNNNNNNNNNNNNNNNNNNNNNNNNNNNNNNNNNNNNNNNNNNNNNNNNNNNNNNNNNNNNNNNNNNNNNNNNNNNNNNNNNNNNNNNNNNNNNNNNNNNNNNNNNNNNNNNNNNNNNNNNNNNNNNNNNNNNNNNNNNNNNNNNNNNNNNNNNNNNNNNNNNNNNNNNNNNNNNNNNNNNNNNNNNNNNNNNNNNNNNNNNNNNNNNNNNNNNNNNNNNNNNAUAGCCCACCCGUUUUUUGGCCAUUUUUCCGCUGGGGGGUUUUGGCACCACAACCUUCGGGCGCUGAUUUUUGGGCGCGUCUUUGCCCGCCGCUUAUUUUGGCUUCCCGAAGGCCCCCCCAAAGUCUCGCCCCAUUCCGAGUCCGGCGGACGAACUUCGCCCGCGCCCCCCACCAAGGCUAUAGCCCACCCGUUUUUUGGCCAUUUUUCCGCUGGGGGGUUUUGGUUGCCACGACCUUCGGGCGCUUAUUUUUGGGCGCGGCUUUGCCCGCGGCUUAUUUUUGGCACCCCGAGGCCCCUCGCAAUGUCUCGCCCCAUUCCGAGUCCGGCGGACGAACUUCGCCCGCCCCCCCCACCAAGGCUAUAGCCCACCCGUUUUUUGGCCAUUUUUCCGCUGGGGGGUUUUGGCACCCGACCUUCGGGCGCUGCUUUUUGGGCGCGGCUUUGCCCUUGGCUUAUUUUUGGCACCCCGAGGCCCCUCGCAAAGUCUCGCCCCAUUCCGAGUCCGGCGGACGAACUUCGCCCGCGCCCCCCACCAAGGCUAUAGCCCACCCGUUUUUUGGCCAUUUUUCCGCUGGGGGGUUUUGGCGCCACGACCUUCGGGCGCUUAUUUUUGGGCGCGGCUUUGCCCGCGGCUUAUUUUUGGCACCCCGAGGCCCCUCGCAAAGUCUCGCCCCAUUCCGAGUCCGGCGGACGAACUUCGCCCGCCCCCCCCCACCAAGGCUAUAGCCCACCCGUUUUUUGGCCAUUUUUCCGCUAGGGGGUUUUGGCACCACGACCUUCGGGCGCUGAUUUUUGGGCGCGGCUUUGCCCGCGGCUUAUUUUUGGCACCCCGAGGCCCCUCGCAAAGUCUCGCCCCAUUCCGAGUCCGGCGGACGAACUUCGCCC
Molecule: long non-coding RNA, 17246 nt
Filed under: Citrus x clementina
Lineage: Eukaryota; Viridiplantae; Streptophyta; Magnoliopsida; Sapindales; Rutaceae
Description: Citrus clementina (C. clementina) long non-coding RNA (CCLE_LNC005935)
Source: RNAcentral